This 912-nucleotide ribosomal RNA is filed under the name uncultured bacterium. RNAcentral's name for it is "bacterial SSU rRNA". It matches the Rfam family "Bacterial small subunit ribosomal RNA", at positions 33 to 942 of the family's 1533-position model. The record is from RNAcentral.
ACGCUGGCGGCGUGCUUAACACAUGCAAGUCGAACGCUGAAGCCUAGCUUGCUGGGUGGAUGAGUGGCGAACGGGUGAGUAACACGUGAGUAACCUGCCCUCUUCUUUGGGAUAACGGCCGGAAACGGCUGCUAAUACCGGGUAUUCACUGUCCUUCGCAUGGGGGGUGGUGGAAAGGUUUUUUCUGGUGGGGGACGGGCUCGCGGCCUAUCAGCUUGUUGGUGGGGUGAUGGCCUACCAAGGCUUUGACGGGUAACCGGCCUGAGAGGGUGACCGGUCACAUUGGGACUGAGAUACGGCCCAGACUCCUACGGGAGGCAGCAGUGGGGAAUAUUGCACAAUGGGCGAAAGCCUGAUGCAGCGACGCCGCGUGGGGGAUGACGGCCUUCGGGUUGUAAACCUCUUUCGCUCAUGGUCAAGCCGCAACUGUGGUUGUGGUGAGGGUAGUGGGUAAAGAAGCACCGGCUAACUACGUGCCAGCAGCCGCGGUAAUACGUAGGGUGCGAGCGUUGUCCGGAAUUAUUGGGCGUAAAGGGCUUGUAGGCGGUUUGUCGCGUCUGCCGUGAAAUCCUCUGGCUUAACUGGGGGCGUGCGGUGGGUACGGGCAGGCUUGAGUGCGGUAGGGGAGACUGGAACUCCUGGUGUAGCGGUGGAAUGCGCAGAUAUCAGGAAGAACACCGGUGGCGAAGGCGGGUCUCUGGGCCGUUACUGACGCUGAGGAGCGAAAGCGUGGGGAGCGAACAGGAUUAGAUACCCUGGUAGUCCACGCUGUAAACGUUGGGCACUAGGUGUGGGGGCCACCCGUGGUUUCUGCGCCGUAGCUAACGCUUUAAGUGCCCCGCCUGGGGAGUACGGCCGCAAGGCUAAAACUCAAAGGAAUUGACGGGGGCCCGCACAAGCGGCGGAGCAUGC